UACGUAGGGUGCAAGCGUUGUCCGGAAUUAUUGGGCGUAAAGAGCUCGUAGGCGGUUUGUUGCGUCGGCUGUGAAAUCCCGAGGCUCAACCUCGGGUCUGCAGUCGAUACGAGCAAACUAGAGUGCUGUAGGGGAGACUGGAAUUCCUGGUGUAGCGGUGAAAUGCGUAGAUAUCAGGAGGAACACCUGUGGUGUAGACAGCUUACUGGACCACUUCUGACGCUGAGACACGAAAGCGUGGGUAGCAAACAGG
RNAcentral lists this ribosomal RNA (253 nucleotides) under uncultured bacterium. Its description in RNAcentral is "partial 16S ribosomal RNA". It matches the Rfam family "Bacterial small subunit ribosomal RNA", at positions 524 to 776 of the family's 1533-position model. The record is from RNAcentral.